This 230-nucleotide ribosomal RNA is filed under the name uncultured bacterium. RNAcentral describes it as "partial 16S ribosomal RNA". It matches the Rfam family "Bacterial small subunit ribosomal RNA", at positions 564 to 791 of the family's 1533-position model. The record is from RNAcentral.
AGCGUGCGCAGGCGGUUUUGUAAGACUGUCGUGAAAUACCCCGGGCCUCAACCUGGGAAUGGCGAUGGUGACUGCAAGGCUAGAGUUUGGCAGAGGGGGGUAGAAUUCCACGUGUAGCAGUGAAAUGCGUAGAUAUGUGGAGGAACACCGAUGGCGAAGGCAGCCCCCUGGGUCAAAACUGACGCUCAUGCACGAAAGCGUGGGGAGCAAACAGGAUUAGAUACCCUAGU